This 213-nucleotide long non-coding RNA is filed under the name Zostera marina. RNAcentral's name for it is "long non-coding RNA (ZMAR_LNC003405)". Lineage: Eukaryota; Viridiplantae; Streptophyta; Magnoliopsida; Alismatales; Zosteraceae. The record is from RNAcentral.
AAUCGAGGAUUUAUUGAGCAUAGGAAGGAGCGGCACGAGGAGCAGCCCCGCACGGCAAGGUCAGUAAGUCAAUAAAUAUAUCCUUUAGACUGAUAUAGUUGUUUUGCAGGUUAUUUUUGUUUUGCAGGAACGAUCCUGUCGCUUUGGCCAGGAUCCACGCAUUCUGUCGCUUCGGCCAGAAUCAGACUCUAAUAACGAGUCGGUCCAUUUUGU